AACGAACGCUGGCGGCAGGCCUAACACAUGCAAGUCGAGCGAACCCUUCGGGGUUAGCGGCGGACGGGUUAGUAACGCGUGGGAAUAUACCCUUUGGUACGGAAUAGCCUCGGGAAACUGAGAGUAAUACCGUAUGUGCCCUUCGGGGGAAAGAUUUAUCGCCAAAGGAUUAGCCCGCGUUGGAUUAGAUAGUUGGUGGGGUAAUGGCCUACCAAGUCUACGAUCCAUAGCUGGUUUGAGAGGAUGAUCAGCCACACUGGGACUGAGACACGGCCCAGACUCCUACGGGAGGCAGCAGUGGGGAAUUUUGGACAAUGGGCGAAAGCCUGAUCCAGCCAUGCCGCGUGAGUGAAGAAGGCCUGGUUGUAAGACUCUUUCAGGUGGAAGAAAGACGGA
This 396-nucleotide ribosomal RNA is filed under the name uncultured bacterium. RNAcentral's name for it is "bacterial SSU rRNA". It matches the Rfam family "Bacterial small subunit ribosomal RNA", at positions 29 to 455 of the family's 1533-position model. The record is from RNAcentral.